RNAcentral lists this ribosomal RNA (497 nucleotides) under uncultured bacterium. RNAcentral describes it as "partial 16S ribosomal RNA". It matches the Rfam family "Bacterial small subunit ribosomal RNA", at positions 28 to 507 of the family's 1533-position model. The record is from RNAcentral.
GAUGAACGCUGGCGGCGUGCCUAAUACAUGCAAGUCGAGCGAACGGACGAGAAGCUUGCUUCUCUGAUGUUAGCGGCGGACGGGUGAGUAACACGUGGAUAACCUACCUAUAAGACUGGGAUAACUUCGGGAAACCGGAGCUAAUACCGGAUGAUAUUUUGAACCGCAUGGUUCAAAAGUGAAAGACGGUCUUGCUGUCACUUAUAGAUGGAUCCGCGCUGCAUUAGCUAGUUGGUAAGGUAACGGCUUACCAAGGCAACGAUGCAUAGCCGACCUGAGAGGGUGAUCGGCCACACUGGAACUGAGAGACGGUCCAGACUCCUACGGGAGGCAGCAGUCGGGAAUCUUCCGCAAUGGGCGAAAGCCUGACGGAGCAACGCCGCGUGAGUGAUGAAGGUCUUCGGAUCGUAAAACUCUGUUAUUAGGGAAGAACAUAUGUGUAAGUAACUGUGCACAUCUUGACGGUACCUAAUCAGAAAGCCACGGCUAACUACGUG